GUGGAUUAGAUACCCUGGUAGUCCACGCCCUAAACGAUGUCGACUAGGUGUUCGGUGAGGAGACUCAUUGAGUACCGCAGCUAACGCGUGAAGUCGACCGCCUGGGGAGUACGGUCGCAAGAUUAAAACUCAAAGGAAUUGACGGGGACCCGCACAAGCGGUGGAUGAUGUGGAUUAAUUCGAUGCAACGCGAAAAACCUUACCUACCCUUGACAUGUACGGAACCCUGCUGAGAGGUGGGGGUGCUCGAAAGAGAGCCGUAACACAGGUGCUGCACGGUCGUCGACAACU
This 291-nucleotide ribosomal RNA is filed under the name uncultured bacterium. RNAcentral's name for it is "partial 16S ribosomal RNA". It matches the Rfam family "Bacterial small subunit ribosomal RNA", at positions 773 to 1060 of the family's 1533-position model. The record is from RNAcentral.